Phasianus colchicus (ring-necked pheasant) is the source of this 2472-nucleotide long non-coding RNA. The record is from Ensembl. NCBI's taxonomy places the organism in Eukaryota, Metazoa, Chordata, Aves, Galliformes, Phasianidae.
GGUGGCGGGGCUUUAAAGGGGCGGGGCCAGAGGAGGGCGGGACAGGAAGGGGCGGGGCUUCAAAUGGCAGUAAACAGGCCCUGAUGGGUAGCCAUGACCGGAAGUGGGCCUGUCCUAAUGGACACUCGGGACCCGGAAGUGGGUGUGGCCACAGGUGGAGGUGGAUGAGGGGGGUGUGGCUGGAAGUGGGCGUGACCGGAAAUGGGCGGGGCCGGAAAUGGGCAGUCAGAACCGGAAGUGGGUGUGGUCUCAGCACAGUCAUUAUUCCAAACAAGAAUGAGACUGGAAGAGGAGGAGGAAGAGGGGGGUGUAGCCGGAAAUGGGCAUGGCCGGAAAUGAGCAAUCAGGACUGGAACUGGGCGUGGUCUGAAUGUGGGAGGCGUAGCAGGAAGUGGGCGUGGCCUCAGCACAUCCAUUAUUCCAAACAGGAACGAGACUGAUGGGGGAAGGUGGGCGUGGCCGGAAGUGGGCGUGACCAGAAAUGGGCGGGGCCGGAAGUGGGCUGUCAGGGGUCGGAAGUGGGCGUGGUCUCAGGGGGGAGGCAUGACAGGAAGUGGGCGUGGCUUCAGCAAACCCAUUAUUCCAAACAAGAACGAGACUGGUGGCGGAAGGUGGGGGGUGGGGCGUGGCCGGAAGUGGGUGUGACGAGAAAUGGGCGGGGCCGGAAAUGGCAGUCAGGCCCGGAAGUGGGCGUGGUCUGAAAGUGGGAGGCAUGGCAGGAAGUGGGUGUGGCCUGAGCACAUCCGUUAUUCCAAAGAAGAAUGAGACUGGUGGGGGAGGGUGGGUGGGGCUGGAAAUGGGCGGGGCCGGAAAUGGGCGUGUCCACACAGGCAGGCGGGACCGGAAAUGGGCGUGGUCUCGGGGGGGAGGGGAGGAGUCGUGGCAGGAAGUGGGCGCAGCCUCAGCACAUCCGUUAUUCCAAACAAGAACGGGAUCGAUGGGGGAGAAAGUGGGGGGGAAGGGAGGGUGGGCGUGGCCGGAAGUGGGCGUGUCCUAUCGGCCCACCAGACCCGGAAGUGGGCGUGGCCUCAGCCCAGCCUUCCUAUGGGUUACAUAGAAUGAGAAUUAGGGAGAGCGGGUGNNNNNNNNNNNNNNNNNNNNNNNNNNNNNNNNNNNNNNNNNNNNNNNNNNNNNNNNNNNNNNNNNNNNNNNNNNNNNNNNNNNNNNNNNNNNNNNNNNNNNNNNNNNNNNNNGGAAGUGGGCGUGUCCAUGAAGUGGGUGUGGCCGGAAGUGGGCGUGGCCGGAAGUGGGCGUGGCCUCACCCGUGCCCCCCGCGGGCGGCGAACAUCUCGUGGAAGGGGAACUGGCGGUGCAAAUCCUUCUCAAUGGCGUCCAGCCAGCGAGCGUCGCCGGGCUGCCGCUCCAGCUCCUGCAAUGGGGCGGGAAGUGGGCAGACAUUGGGGGGGCGUGGGGGGACACUGACACCCAUGGGGACCCAUAGGGACCCGCUGAGACCCAUAGAGACCCACUGAGAGCCAUAGGGACCCAUUGGGACCCGUUGAGACCCAUAGACACCAACUGAGACCCACAGAGACCCACUGAGACCCAUAGGGACCUAUAGAGACCCUCUAAGACCCAUAGGGACCCACUGAGACCCAUAGGGACCCCAUAGGAACCUAUAGGAACACACUGAGACCCACUGAGAUCCACAGGAACCCAUAGGGACCCACUGAGACCCAUAGGGACCUAUAGAGACCCACUGAGACCCACUGGGACCCAUAGGCACCCACUGAGACCCAUAGGGACCUAUAGAGACCUACUGAGACCCACUGGGACCCAUAGGCACCCGCUGAGACCCAUAGAGACCAACUGAGAGCCAUAGAGACCCACUGAGAGCCAUAGGGACCCAUAGAAACCCAUAGGGACCCGUUGAGACCCAUAGGGACCUAUAGAGACCCACUGAGACCCACUGGGACCCAUAGGCACCCGCGGAGACCCCACAGGGACCCAUAACAACCCACAGGGACCCACAGGGACCCAUACAAACCCAUAGGGACCCGCUGAGACCCAUAGGGACGCAUAGGGACCCAUAGAAACCCAUAGGGACCCGCUGAGACCUAUAGGGACCUAUAGAGACCCACUGAGACCCACUGGGACCCAUAGGGACCUAUAGAGACCCAUAAAGACCAACUGAGACCCACUGAGACCCACUGAGACCCAUAGGGACCCACUGAGAGCCAUAGGGACCCAUAGGGACCCACCGAGACCCCAUAGGGACCCAUAGCAACCCCCAGGGAACCAUAGCAACCCAUAGGGAUCCAUAGCAACCCCCAGGGAAACAUAGGGACCCACCGAGACCCCAUAGGGACCCACCAAGACCCCAUAGCGACCCAUAGCAACCCCCAGAGACCCAUAGCAACCCAUAGGGACCCCCAGGGACCCAUAGCAACCCAUAGCGACCCAUAGGGACCCACCGAGACCCCAUAGGGACCCACUGAGACCCCAUAGGGACCCAUAGCAAAUCCCAGGGAC